CACACACACACACACACACUACAUGACCAAAAGUAUGUGGACACCUGCUCGUCAAACAUCUCAUUCCAAAAUCAUGGGCAUUAACAUGGAGUUGGUCCCCCCUUUGCUGCUAUAACAGCCUCCUCUCUUCUGGGAAGGGUUUCCACUAGAUGUUGGAGCAUUGCUGCGGGGACUUGCUUCUAUUUAGUCACGAGCAUUAGUGAGGAUCAGGCACUGAUGUUGGGCGAUUAGGCCUGGCUUGCAGUCGGCCUUCCAAUUCAUCCCAAAGGUGUUCGAUGUGGUUGAGGUCAGGGAAGUCAACUUAUUCCACACCAUUCUCGACAAACCAUUUCUGUAUGGACCUCGCUUUGUGCACGUGGGCAUUGUUAUACUGAAACAGGAAAGGACCUUCCCCAAACUGUUUCCACAAAGUUGGAAGCACAGAAUCGUCUAAAAUAUAAUUUUAUGCUGUGGCAUUAAGAUUUCCCUUCACUGGAAAUAAGAGGCCUAGUCCGAACCAUGAAAAACAGCCCCAGACAAUUAUUCCUCCUCCACCAAACUUUACAGUUGGCGCUAAGCACUUAGGGCAGGUAGCGUUCUCCUGGUAUCCGCAAAACCCAGAUUCAUCUGUCGGACUGCCAGAUGGUGAAGCGUGAUUCAUCACUCAAGAGAACGAGUUUCCACUGCUCCAGAGUCCAAAGUCGUCGAGCUUUACACCACUCCAGCUGACGCUUGGCAUUGCACAUGGUGAUCUUAGGCUUGGGUGUAGCUGCUCGGCCAUGGAAACCCAUUUCAUGAAGCUCCUGACGAACAGUUAUUGUGCUGACGUGGCUUCCAAAGGCAGUUUGGAACUCGGUAGUGAGUGUUGCCAACGAGGACAGACAAUUUUUACGCUCUAUAUGCAUCAGCACUCGGCGGUCCCGUUCUGUGAGCUUGUGUGGCCUACCACUUCGCGGCUGAGCCGUUGUUGCUCCUAGAUGUUUCCACUUCACAAUAACAGCACUUACAGUUGAGCGGGGCAGCUCUAGCAAGGCAGAAAUUUGACAAACUGACUUGUUGGAAAGGUGGCAUCCUAUGACGGUGCCACGUUGAAAGUCACUGAGCUCUUCAGUAAGACCAUUCUUCUGCCAAUGUUUGUCUAUGGAGAUUGCAUGGUGGUGUCCUCAAUUUUAUACACAUCAGCAAUGGGUGUGGCUAAAAUAGCUAAAACCAG
This 1192-nucleotide long non-coding RNA is filed under the name Salmo salar (Atlantic salmon). Its description in RNAcentral is "lncRNA (ENSSSAG00000090513.1)". The record is from RNAcentral. Lineage: Eukaryota; Metazoa; Chordata; Actinopteri; Salmoniformes; Salmonidae.